UGGGGAAUAUUGGACAAUGGGGGAAACCCUGAUCCAGCAAUGCCGCGUGAGUGAAGAAGGCCUUAGGGUUGUAAAGCUCUUUCGCCCGCGAAGAUAAUGACGGUAGCGGGAGAAGAAGCCUCGGCUAACUCCGUGCCAGCAGCCGCGGUAAUACGGAGGGGGCUAGCGUUGUUCGGAAUUACUGGGCGUAAAGCGUACGUAGGCGGAUGCGCAAGUUGGGGGUGAAAUCCCGGGGCUUAACCUCGGAAUUGCCCUCAAAACUGCACGUCUUGAGACCGAGAGAGUGAAGGGGAAUUCCUAGUGUAGAGGUGAAAUUCGUAGAUAUUAGGAAGAACACCAGUGGCGAAGGCGCCUACUGGCUCGGUACUGACGCUGGGGUACGAAAGCGUGG
RNAcentral lists this ribosomal RNA (391 nucleotides) under uncultured bacterium. RNAcentral's name for it is "bacterial SSU rRNA". It matches the Rfam family "Bacterial small subunit ribosomal RNA", at positions 355 to 764 of the family's 1533-position model. The record is from RNAcentral.